UGAGGAAUAUUGGUCAAUGGACGCAAGUCUGAACCAGCCAAGUCGCGUGGAGGACGACGGCCCUACGGGUUGUAAACUCCUUUUGCAGGGGAAUAAAGCUGGCCACGCGUGGCCAUUUGCAUGUACCUUGCGAAUAAGGAUCGGCUAACUCCGUGCCAGCAGCCGCGGUAAUACGGAGGAUCCGAGCGUUAUCCGGAUUUAUUGGGUUUAAAGGGUGCGCAGGCGGCCCGUUAAGUCGGCGGUGAAAUUUUGCGGCUCAACCGUAAAAGUGCCUUCGAUACUGGCGGGCUUGAGUGUGGAUGAAGCGGGCGGAAUUCGUGGUGUAGCGGUGAAAUGCAUAGAUAUCACGAAGAACCCCGAUUGCGAAGGCAGCUCGCUAAGCCAUAACUGACGCUCAUGC
RNAcentral lists this ribosomal RNA (400 nucleotides) under uncultured bacterium. RNAcentral's name for it is "bacterial SSU rRNA". It matches the Rfam family "Bacterial small subunit ribosomal RNA", at positions 355 to 752 of the family's 1533-position model. The record is from RNAcentral.